This 253-nucleotide ribosomal RNA is filed under the name uncultured bacterium. RNAcentral describes it as "partial 16S ribosomal RNA". It matches the Rfam family "Bacterial small subunit ribosomal RNA", at positions 524 to 776 of the family's 1533-position model. The record is from RNAcentral.
UACGGAGGGGGCUAGCGUUGUUCGGAAUUACUGGGCGUAAAGCGCACGUAGGCGGCUUUGCAAGUUAGAGGUGAAAGCCCAGGGCUCAACCCUGGAAUUGCCUUUAAGACUGCAUCGCUUGAAUCAUGGAGAGGUGAGUGGAAUUCCGAGUGUAGAGGUGAAAUUCGUAGAUAUUCGGAAGAACACCAGUGGCGAAGGCGACUCACUGGACAUGUAUUGACGCUGAGGUGCGAAAGCGUGGGGAGCGAACAGG